This 73-nucleotide transfer RNA is filed under the name Candidatus Methanomethylicus mesodigestus. Its description in RNAcentral is "tRNA-Gln". It matches the Rfam family "tRNA". From Rfam's summary of the family: Transfer RNA (tRNA) molecules are approximately 80 nucleotides in length. Their secondary structure includes four short double-helical elements and three loops (D, anti-codon, and T loops). RNAcentral also lists the same sequence under 1 other name. The record is from RNAcentral. Lineage: Archaea; Thermoproteati; Thermoproteota; Methanosuratincolia; Candidatus Methanomethylicales; Candidatus Methanomethylicaceae.
AGCCCGGUGGUGUAGAGGCCAAGCAUGGCGGGCUUUGGCCCCGCCGACAGGAGUUCGAAUCUCCUCCGGGCUA